ACUCAAAUGAAUAGACGGGGGCCCGCACAAGCGGCGGAGCGUGCGGUUUAAUUCGACGCGACGCGCAGAACCUUACCCGGGCUUGACAUGCCCCUGCAAGCUCCCGAAAGGGAGUCGCUUUCGAAGGUGGGGCACAGGUGCUGCAUGGCUGUCGUCAGCUCGUGCCGUGAGGUGUUGGGUUAAGUCCCGCAACGAGCGCAACCCCCGCCGCCAGUUGCCGAUGUUUCUGGCGGGACGGCCCCUCGCGGGGAGGAAGGAGGGGAUGAUGUCAAGUCAGCAUGGCCCUUACGUCCGGGGCGACACGCACGCUACAAUGGCCGGGACAAUGGGUCGCCAAGCGGCAACGCGGAGCUAAUCCCCCAAACCCGGUCUCAGUUCGGAUCGGGGGCUGCAACCCGCCCCCGUGAAGUCGGAGUCGCUAGUAACCGCGGGUCAGCACUACCGCGGUGAAUGUGUUCCCGGGCCUUGUACACACCGCCCGU
RNAcentral lists this ribosomal RNA (482 nucleotides) under uncultured bacterium. RNAcentral describes it as "partial 16S ribosomal RNA". It matches the Rfam family "Bacterial small subunit ribosomal RNA", at positions 899 to 1397 of the family's 1533-position model. The record is from RNAcentral.